Molecule: ribosomal RNA, 519 nt
Filed under: uncultured Glomus
Lineage: Eukaryota; Fungi; Glomeromycota; Glomeromycetes; Glomerales; Glomeraceae
Description: SSU rRNA
Rfam family: Eukaryotic small subunit ribosomal RNA
Source: RNAcentral
AGCAGCCGCGGUAAUUCCAGCUCCAAUAGCGUAUAUUAAAGUUGUUGCAGUUAAAAAGCUCGUAGUUGAAUUUCGGGAUCAACAUGUCGGUCGUGCCUCCGGUACGUACUGGCAUCGUUGAUUUCUACCUUCUGACGAACCAUGAUGUCAUUAAUUUGGUGUCAUGGGGAAUCAGGACCGUUACUUUGAAAAAAUUAGAGUGUUUAAAGCAGGCACACGCUUGAAUACAUUAGCAUGGAAUAAUGAAAUAGGACGUUUGACCCUAUUUUGUUGGUUUCUAGGAUCGACGUAAUGAUUAAUAGGGAUAGUUGGGGGCAUUAGUAUUCAAUUGUCAGAGGUGAAAUUCUUGGAUUUAUUGAAGACUAACUACUGCGAAAGCAUUUGCCAAGGAUGUUUUCAUUAAUCAAGAACGAAAGUUAGGGGAUCGAAGACGAUCAGAUACCGUCGUAGUCUUAACCAUAAACUAUGCCGACUAGGGAUCGGAUGAUGUUAAUUUUUUAAUGACUCAUUCGGCGUCCG